This 2712-nucleotide long non-coding RNA is filed under the name Salmo salar (Atlantic salmon). Its description in RNAcentral is "lncRNA (ENSSSAG00000091813.1)". Lineage: Eukaryota; Metazoa; Chordata; Actinopteri; Salmoniformes; Salmonidae. The record is from RNAcentral.
AUUCAUUGAGAAUCCAUAAUUCGAAGGCAGUUGCUUGCAGUUCCUAUCACUUCCACUGGAUGUCAACAGUCUUUAGAAAUUGGUUGAUGUUUUUCCUUUGUGUAAUGUAGAAGUAGCCCUGUUCAGAAUGAGGCUCAAGGGAAGUAUGCUGUUUGAUAGAGGCGCGUGACCUGAAAAGCAUGCUCCACUUUGUUUUCCUCCGGUAUUGAACACAGUUUAUCCCAUCUUAAAUUUUCAAUUAUUUAUGUAAAAAAAAGACCUAAAGUUGUAUUAGGAAAGUUGUUUGAAAUGUUUGGACAAAGAUUACAGGUAACUUGAGAUAUUUUGUAGUCAUGUUGCGUGAGUUGGAACCGGUGUUUUUCUGGAUCAAACACACCAAAUAAAUGGACAUUUUGGAUAUAUAACGACGGAAUUAAUCGAACAAAAGGACCAUUUGUGAUGUUUAUGGGACAUAUUGGAGUGCCAACAGAAGAAGGUCGUCAAAGCCCUCAUCGUCAAUUUCCACCACCGGCACACCAGUCCACCAGGUAUAUGCCCAGAGGACCUGAGCCCUAGGACCAUGCCUCAGGACUACCUGGCCUGAUGACUCCUUGCAGUCCACCUGGUCGUGCUGCUGCUCCAGUUUCAACUGUUCUGCCUGCGGCUAUGGAACCCUGACCUGUUCACCGGAUGUGCUACCUUGUCCCAGACCUGCUGUUUUCGACUCUCUCUCUACCGCACCUGCUGUCUCUAACUCUGAAUGCUUGGCUAUGAAAAGCCAACUGACAUUUACUACUGAGAUUUCCCUCUUCUGCAGGGCCAAGAGGACCUGGGCUUGAUGUCCGUGAUCCUCCACAGAGGCGAGGGAUUUCUAAAGUCUUACGGAGGACUUGAGACAGACACCUUGCAAAUUCCAAAGAAAAAAUAACUGCGGUGCUUGGAUCCAGUUGGUUAAACUAGUCAAGGAGGUGGAAGAAAAUCCCACAAUCCCUUGCUCUACCUCCCUCUGCGCUGAACAUCCACACCUGCUCUCAUACAUCAAACAGAUACAAUAUCAGUGGUCUUCCUCUGAGGCCUUUUCAAGGUGCAGUGGAGGUCUUAAACCAUGUGCCAAUCCAUCCUUUCCCUCAGCACAGGGUCAACCAGUGCACCCACCCACCACAACGAGGUAGGAGGGUCCCUCUUCUCACCCUUUCACUCGCUGCAAAUACAUGGCUGCCUCAUUUUCAACCAAUAAAGCACAUGGGGCCUGAGAGCUCAACCAAGCAGCUUGAACCACUGACUAUGGGGCCUGAGAGCUCAACCAAGCAGCUUGAACCACUGACUAUGGGGCCUGAGAGCUCAACCAAGCAGCUUGAACCACUGACUAUGGGGCCUGAGAGCUCAACCAAGCAGCUUGAACCACUGACUAUGGGGCCUGAGAGCUCAACCAAGCAGCUUGAACCACUGACUAUGGGGCCUGAGAGCUCAACCAAGCAGCUUGAACCACUGACUAUGGGGCCUGAGAGCUCAACCAAGCAGCUUGAACCACUGACUAUGGGGCCUGAGAUCUCAACCAAGCAGCUUGAACCACUGACUAUGGGGCCUGAGAUCUCAAGCAAGCAGCUUGAACCACUGACUACGUUUUGUGAAGCAUGACUACUACGCCCAACAAAUGCUGAGCCCAAAGCUGAUGGAGGAUAUGUAUAUGAAUGGCUUAUCUUUUACAAUCCUAUCAUAAUCUAGGGUUCAUUCGGAAGUUUUACAGAUAGUUACCAUAGUGUACGGGCAAGAGAUGUUACAGUUUGUGCAGCUGUCAUUACUAACAGUCGUUGCAAGAGUGCAGAUUGCUGCAGUGUGGAAACAUAUUCAAAAAUAAAUCUGUGAGUCUCUGAAAGCCGACAGCAGCAAGCAGUUCAUGUACCCAAUAAACCUGAAAAAACUGACUAUAAUUCGAUGCAGACACUGUCCAAAAGUACUCCACCACAGAGUAGAGGUGGACUCAUUGUAUCAAUAAAAUGCAAAAUAAUCCCUUGACUGUGCCUCUCAGCAAUCCUAUAAGCCCCUGUGUUCUGUGCAUGCACAAUAUUUAGCCUUUACGAUGAUGAGACUGACACUACGGGAAUGAAUAGCACUGAACAAGUACCAUCAGAGUGAGCAAGAUAAGGAGGAAGGAAGGAAGAGAUUUACAGAGAGAGAAGAUGAGAGCAGAGGGUGAUCAGAGGAGGACAGUUUAGAGGCGUUAAGCAGAAAUAUAGCACAUGGAACCAGAGGAAAAAGGAGAGAGUGCGAGAAGGGGAGGUAGGGUGUAGAGAGAGAGGGCUGGAGAUGGAUGGAGUGAGAAGCAUGACUUGCACAGUGAAAGGUUUUGACAGCACAAAGGGCGAGAGAGUGAGUGAUUCGACGAGAAAGAGACUUGCAUAGAGAGCUUGAGAGGAGAUGAGAGGAGAGAAGGAAAGUAGAGGGAGAAGGAAGGCGGUGCGGUGAAAGAUGACAUGUAGACCCUAGACAGAUUAUGGGGGGGGGGGGACAAAGGACAGUUUGGAAGUUGCAGAUAAGCAAUUAAACAUCCUGAACAGACAAGCGGUUGCAUUCAAGAAGGGGUAUAUUCAUGAGGUGGUAUGCUGCUAUGAUUUCAGGGUAUUAAAAUAAGUAAGCUUUAUUGCAUUGAUUAUUGGUGUGAUUGUUUGUAAUAUGUAAAUUAUAUUAUAUCACCUUUCUAAAUAAACAUGUGCAGUAUAAAGAGCAAACAUA